AAGUAGGGGAUUGUUGUAAUUUGGUCUUCAAUUUAUAAUUAUAAA
This 45-nucleotide small RNA is filed under the name Olea europaea subsp. europaea. Lineage: Eukaryota; Viridiplantae; Streptophyta; Magnoliopsida; Lamiales; Oleaceae. The record is from RNAcentral.